This 404-nucleotide long non-coding RNA is filed under the name Bos indicus x Bos taurus (hybrid cattle). Its description in RNAcentral is "lncRNA (ENSBIXG00000010378.1)". Lineage: Eukaryota; Metazoa; Chordata; Mammalia; Artiodactyla; Bovidae. The record is from RNAcentral.
GAGCUGGUUUUCUCCAGGGCACUUGCCAAUUUCCAGCAGCAGUGCUACUAAAACAGUGCCGUGGUGAUGAUGAAGUGAAUCAUUGGUACGACACUUUCUGAAUCCUUAGGGGCUCCUCCUGAACAAGCUUCCCAUACACAUGGAUGAGCAUCCUAGGGAAGAAGCAGAGUGAGCCUCCGGGGAGUCAGUGCAUGGACAACUCUAGAAGUUUCUAUGGGGAAGAAACCUUGGCAAGGACUUUGGAAUCACACCACUUGAAUAUAUUCAAGAGUGCCAUUUUGCCAGCAUGCCACUGGACAGAUCUCAAGAUGUUUCUAGCAAAAUUGUGGGGCUGUAGUUAUGGAUUGCUUGCUGUGGGGCAGAAGGAAGAGACUAGUCAUUCAGUAAAAGUUGUUGCCUUUUAA